CCCUACGGGGCGCAGCAGGCGCGAAAACUUUACAAUGCGGGAAACCGUGAUAAGGGAACUCCGAGUGCCCGUUAAAUCGGGCUGUCCAUCAGUUUAAAUAACUGGUGAAGAAAGGGCCGGGCAAGACCGGUGCCAGCCGCCGCGGUAAUACCGGCGGCUCGAGUGGUGGCCACUAUUACUGGGCUUAAAGCGUUCGUAGCUGGUUUGUUAAGUCUCUGGGGAAAUCUUCCGGCUUAACCGGAAGGCGUCUCAGGGAUACUGGCAGACUAGGGACCGGGAGAGGUGAGGGGUACUCCAGGGGUAGGAGUGAAAUCCUGUAAUCC
This 323-nucleotide ribosomal RNA is filed under the name uncultured archaeon. RNAcentral describes it as "bacterial SSU rRNA". It matches the Rfam family "Archaeal small subunit ribosomal RNA", at positions 321 to 648 of the family's 1478-position model. The record is from RNAcentral.